Molecule: ribosomal RNA, 522 nt
Filed under: uncultured Glomeromycotina
Lineage: Eukaryota; Fungi; Glomeromycota
Description: SSU rRNA
Rfam family: Eukaryotic small subunit ribosomal RNA
Source: RNAcentral
AGCAGCCGCGGUAAUUCCAGCUCCAAUAGCGUAUAUUAAAGUUGUUGCAGUUAAAAAGCUCGUAGUUGAAUUUCGGGGUUAGUAGAUUGGUCAUGCCUCUGGUAUGCACUGGUCUCACUGAUUCCUCCUUCCUGAUGAGCCGUAAUGCCAUUAAUUUGGUGUUGCGGGGAAUUUGGACUGUUACUUUGAAAAAAUUAGAGUGUUUAAAGCAAGCUAACGCUUGAAUACAUUAGCAUGGAAUAAUGAAAUAGGACGUUCGAUCCUAUUUUGUUGGUUUCUAGGAUUGACGUAAUGAUUAAUAGGGAUAGUUGGGGGCAUUAGUAUUCAAUUGUCAGAGGUGAAAUUCUUGGAUUUAUUGAAGACUAACUACUGCGAAAGCAUUUGCCAAGGAUGUUUUCAUUAAUCAAGAACGAAAGUUAGGGGAUCGAAGACGAUCAGAUACCGUCGUAGUCUUAACCAUAAACUAUGCCGACUAGGGAUCGGAUGAUGUUAAUUUUUUAAUGACUCAUUCGGCGCCUUACG